Molecule: unclassified non-coding RNA, 212 nt
Filed under: Hevea brasiliensis (rubber tree)
Lineage: Eukaryota; Viridiplantae; Streptophyta; Magnoliopsida; Malpighiales; Euphorbiaceae
Source: RNAcentral
UGCAUCAACCUCUCCUGUGAUCUGCAGCACAAUUAUGGAACAAAAUGGCAAAUUGAGAAUGCAUGAAACAUGCACACACAAGGCGCAUGCAUAUAUAAUUUGAAAUAUAAACUAAUCCUGAUUCCUGAGACAGCAAUUGCAAGCCAUUGCUGUUAAGACUGCAGUCAUAAUGUUGAAACAUCUAUCCCAUUCUGUGAGAAGUUGGUAUGAUA